RNAcentral lists this unclassified non-coding RNA (3118 nucleotides) under Limulus polyphemus (Atlantic horseshoe crab). RNAcentral's name for it is "probable phospholipid-transporting ATPase IF, transcript variant X7". The record is from RNAcentral. Lineage: Eukaryota; Metazoa; Arthropoda; Merostomata; Xiphosura; Limulidae.
GUUUACGUGAGUGAUAUGGCAAUAUUUAGUGAAAUCAACGUUAGAUGGCCUUGUGUAAUCUUAAGUUUGUGACAACAUUAUAUUCAGCAGUAUUUGUGCUUCGUCGUUAUUUGAUUAGAAAAUAUAAGACUAAGACCGUGAAAGCAUGGACAGAAAUUUUUAUACGUAACGUGACACUCAAAAGGUUUUGCAUGAGAAAGUUUCAAAGUAAACAUGGAAUGCCUUAUCUUCAAAAGGAUUCACAAGAUUGUGAGGAGAGCUUCGAGUCGAAAGUCUCAUGAAGAGUCUAGAACAGUGUAUGUUGGCCAUAGGCAUCCACCAGGUAAAGAAGAUGAAUUAGAAGGAAAGUUUCCAGACAACACUGUAGUUUCUUCUAAGUACACUUUAUGGAACUUUAUCCCAAAGAAUCUAUUUGAACAAUUUCGAAGAAUUGCCAACUUUUACUUCCUGUGUAUAGCUGUAAUACAACUCAGCAUAAACAGCCCUGUCAGCCCACUGACCAGCCUAGCGCCACUCAUAUUUGUUGUAACUGUAACUGCCAUCAAACAAGGUUAUGAAGACUGGUUGAGGCAUAGAGCAGACCGCUUAGUGAAUCAAACACUUGUUCGUGUCAUUAGAGGUAGAAAAAUAGACAGGAUUAAAUCUCAAGACAUAAGGGUUGGAGAUAUUGUCAUGGUGAAAUCUAAUGAGGAAUUCCCUUGUGAUCUUGUGAUGCUUUCAUCUAGUAAUAAAGAAGGACAUUGUCAUAUCACAACUGCUAACCUUGAUGGAGAAACUAACCUCAAGGUUCAUGAGUGUCUUCCAGAAACUCAAACGUACCAGACAACAGAAUGUCUAAAUACAUUGAUUGCUUUCAUUGAGUGCCAAAACCCAACACCUAAUCUUUACAAAUUUAUUGGCAAAAUGACAUUGUACAGAAAUGCUAGUGAAAAUACUGUUUGCUCUUUAGGCCCUGUUAAUUUAUUGUUGAAAGGAGCCAGACUUAAAAACACUGACUUUAUUUUUGGUUGUGCUGUAUAUACAGGUUUUGAAACAAAGUUGUCUUUGAAUCUAAGAUUGACAUCUAAUAAAUUUUCUACUGUAGAAAGGUCCAUGAAUAAAUUCCUGUUGUUUUUCUUAGUGUUGCUAGUCACUGAAGUUUCCAUUGCAACAGGAUUGAGAUAUUUCUAUAUAAGAGAUCCUGUUUUAGGGGUCUCAUGGUAUCUACAAUCAAACUUAAACACAAGUGCAAGAGAAGUUUUUACCGAUUUUCUUGCGUUUCUAGUUUUGUUCAAUUACAUAAUACCAAUUUCUUUAUAUGUAACUAUUGAAAUGGUGAAGUUUUUUGGUGUUAUGUUUCUAACAUGGGAUGGUGAACUAUAUGAUGAAAAUUCGAAUGAAUGUGCAAAGUGCAAUAGCUCAGACCUAAAUGAAGAACUUGGUCAAGUACAGUAUUUGUUCACUGACAAAACAGGAACUUUAACAGAAAAUGACAUGGUUUUUCGACAUUCUUCCAUCGAUGGUGUUAAGUACACUGAGCAUGGUGGUAUGCUUUGCAAAGUUGCUGAAUCAUUCCGUAGUGCUCCUGAACCAGUUUUCCAUUAUUCGGGUCCAGUUGAAGAUUUUCUUCUUGUCUUGGCUGUUUGUAACACAGUCCAGGUGUAUGUAAAAAAUUUAAGUAAUGGUUUCACAAUUGAAAUUAGCAAUAACUGUGAGGAGACUAAUCCAGAGUAUCAUGCAUCAUCACCAGAUGAGAAAGCUUUUGUAGAAGCCUGUUACAGGUUUGGAGUUAUUCUUCAUGGUUUUGUUGAGGAUAACUGUGUUGUGACAUUCCAAAAGAAGAGAAGAAAGCUCAAGAGACUUCAUGUGUUGGAGUUUGAUUCUAACAGGAAAUGUAUGUCUGUGAUAGUUAAAACUGAAGACGGGAGAAUAUUUUUGUUUUGCAAGGGAGCUGAAUCUGCAUUACUUAGUAAAUGUAUUUCAGGACCAGUAGAUGUUACCUUACAGCACAUAAAUGAUUAUGCCAUGGAAGGGUUGCGAACAAUGGUUAUUGCACAGAGAGAGCUCUCAGAAGAGGAGUUUCAUAUAUUUGAUAAAAAAAUUAGAAAAGCCCGAACUGAAAUGACAGAUAGGGAGAAUAAAGUAUCAAAAGUCAUUAAUGAAAUAGAAAGGAAUCUGACACUGUUGGGAGCUACUGGUGUAGAAGAUAAACUACAGGAAGGCGUUUGUGAAACGUUAGCUGCCCUAAGGGCUGCCGGUAUCAAGGUUUGGGUGCUGACUGGGGAUAAAGGAGAAACUGCAGUUAACAUCAGUUACUCAUCAGGACACUUUCAGCGAGGCAUGGUACUCAUGAAGCUUUUACACCAGGAAUCAAGUAGUCAAUGUCAAAGAGAAAUAAUAAACAUAAAGAAUAUAAUAGAGAGGGAACCAAUGAGCAGUUAUGCCUUAGUUGUAGAUGGACACUCACUGGCCUUUGCUCUCCACCAUCAUCGUGAUAUCUUUUAUGAAAUAUGUCGACAGUGCACUGCGGUGUUGUGUUGUCGCAUGUCACCCAUACAAAAAGCUGAGAUUGUGAAGUUUAUCAAGUUAGAACCUGAAGCACCAAUUACAGCUGCAAUUGGGGAUGGGGCUAAUGAUGUUAGCAUGAUUCAAGAAGCUCAUGUUGGUCUUGGCAUUAUGGGUAAAGAAGGUAGACAGGCUGUACGAUGUAGUGAUUUUGCUUUUGCUCGUUUUCGUUUCUUGCAACGCAUACUACUUGUUCAUGGCCAUUAUUACUACAUUCGUGUUUCAACAUUGGUGCAGUAUUUCUUUUACAAGAAUAUAGCUUUCAUCACACCUCAAGUAUAUUAUGCAUUCUUUAAUGCCUUUUCUGCCCAGACAUUAUACCACAGCAUUUACCUUAUGUUCUUCAACAUUUUCUUCACCUCCCUUCCUAUUAUCAUCUAUGGCUUGUCAGAGCAGCAUAUAAGUCAGAAAACCUUACUCGAGAACCCUCACUUGUACAGACUUUAGGUUUAUGGAGUUUUGGCACAGCAAUGUUUCACACACUUGUUAUUACUAUUAACUUCAAGCUGUGCUUGCACACCAGGUACUGGACAGGAUUGUUUAUAUUUUCAGUAUUUAUUACUAUCAUUGGUUU